CUCUGAGCAGAGAGCAGUGAGAGGCCACGGGACCAGGGGAUCCACAGGGAAACAGAAAUCACAAACUCCCUCAAACUGAAACAUUUGGGGAUUUUCUGUGAAGUCAGAGUUUGUCCUGUGGAAGAACGGACCGGCUGCUGGUCACCAUGUUCCAUUUCAUCUGGGUGGCUCUGCUGCUGACCGUUGCAGAAACAAAACAGGGGAAUGAUGAAAAGUCCUGCUUGACUCUAAGUGACAGAAAACUAACAGCAGAGGCUGAACUCUGUGCUGUUGUACCGUGUUUGACUGGAGCGAAUUCUGAUGUCAGUGUAACAUGGCAUAAAUCUGAUCAACACUGUGACAAGACAGGAAACAAAGACAACACAAACAACUGCAGAAUCAUCAUGAAAGACCUCUCCCAGCUGGACCGCGGAUCAUAUCUGCUCAAAAUCUCUGAGAUCAGUCAGAAGCCCACAGUGGAGAGUUCUCUCCUGAGAGCAGGACACCACGCCACUCUGACCUGCACGGUCCUCGGCCUCAGCGAUAAACCCGUUUCUAGUAUCGACUGGACGUGGAGCGCUGCGGGAGGGAACAUCUCAACCAUCGAGGGAACCGACAAUCCAGCUAAGACUGAGAAUCUGACUGGCAAAGCACAGAGACACAACUCAACUCUGACCUUUAAGGCGACAGCUGAGCACCAUGGAACAAAUGUCACCUGUACAGUUAACUUCGGAGAUGGCAGUACUGCAGAGGAGAACAAAACCCUCAGUGUCUCCUCAUUUUCAGGGAUCCUGAACGCCUCUGCAUGUCAGCGGCAGUCGGGCGUGCUGACCUGUGUGUGUGUCAGUGAGGGCUUUCCACUGCCCACCAUCACAUGGCCGCAGUUAGAGAAGCGUACAGACUACUCUGUACUGACCACCGUGUCCAACAACACUGUGAAUAAUACCGUCACCGUGUCUGAGAAAACAAACAGCCACGCAACCUUUCAGUGUGUCAGCAGUAAUGGGGCGAACGAAGUCAGAAGAGAUAUCACAGUCACAGAAUCUGAGGCACAACAAAAAGUUCCAGAUCUUCUCGCAGAGCUGUGGAGGAUUAUAAAACAGCUGGAGGUCAUCGUAGCGUUUUUGAUUGGCUUACUGUUCGGGAUAAUAUUUUCAUCAUUCCUCACAUGUUUGGCAAGAAAAUGUCGAAGACAGAAGCUGAAGCCUGGCAGACUGACGGAGGACUUAGAGAUGAACACCCACGCUGUUCAGAUGGAAGUGUGUCACGCAGCUGAAGAUGAAGGGACGGAGGAAGCUGGAAUGAUGGCUGCUGGGCCGUCGGCACCCGAGGGUGACGUGAGGCCCAAAGAGGUGGAGUACUCCCACAUCGACUUCUCCCUGCUGAAGGCCAAGAAUCCCGCGGAGGAAGAUUCGACACAAGGCGCCACCGAGACGGAGUACGCUGAAAUCAAAAAGGAAAUAAGAGAGGAGGGGGAAGGCAAUGAUGGAGAAGGGAGUGAGGAGAUGAGGGAGGACGAGCGGACCACAGAGGACGGAGGCGAGCAGGACACUCUCUAUUCCAACGUGAAAGAAAUAAUGGAUGAAUGAAAUGUGAGGACUGUGUACAGUGGCUGAGCUUCUCUUUAAACUAUUAGUGAAGAAAGCAGAGUAAGACGUGCACGGUAAGAAUUUUAGAUGAGGAUGGAUGUAGUGCAGUGAGGCCUGAGGAUAUUGUAUUCUUUGUCUCUUUUCUUCUAACUGGACACUCCAUUGUCAAACCAAUUCAAUUUGAACAAAAGGUUGGAAAGGUAUGGGAAGUCAAAAUUGGACACAAGUGGCCUUGAUUGCUUUGAGGUUGUCUGAAAUAUUCUGCAAAGAUAUUUGCAUAAAUCUUAGAAUUGAGAUCAGAUUGGCUUCCUUUUGGUCUUUAAGGUUCCUGCUUUUGUAUGUUGGCGAGUGGGUGGAUCCACCAGUGUUUGGCUUCACUGUAAUGCUUUUUUUAAAUACAGCAUUUCUUUCUGUGAAUCUCCAAGUAGCAAAAAGUGAGAACUUUUUGUUGUUUCAGUUUAGUAAGCUCAUCGUCAAGUUUAUGAUAUGAUGGUCAGCUCAAAAGAGCCACGAGAACUUAAGAAAAUGGGAUGGAAUGAAGAGCAGCUUAUUUUGUAAAAACACACAAAUAAAAAAAAACUAAGAAAAAAGCUUUUUUUUUUUAGGAUUGUUCAACAGAAAAAACCUGUGAUGUGUUCAGAUUUUUGGGUUCUGUAUUAUAUUGACAGGAAGUUCACUUUUCUUCUUUUUUUGAGCAAUAAAAGCGCUUUAACCAUAAAAAUCACAUUUUUUUUCUGUCAUGUGUUAUGACAACCUUAAUCUUUUUCAAACAUGUGGCACUCAGCUCAUUUUUACCUUUUAUUAAUUAAUUAUCUGAAACUUAAAGGUGCUGUAGGCAGGAUUUUGCUAGUCAAUGCAAAUUUUUCUGUUUUCUUUGGAUUAAAUGUUAGAGUAUCCAUUGAUAAUCCUUUAGGAGUGUAGCAUAAUUGCACUACCGCAAGGGCGCAGCAUUUCCAUUUGUCUCUGUUCUGAGCUGAAAAGGAAUCUCGACAGCUCCAGGUAUCUUUGACCAAUCAGAAGAGCCCAUGAGGCUCUAACCAUGAUUAGUCGAGGGGUGUUCGUCGCACGUUCUUGUGGGAGGGGCUUAACUUGCAUAAGGGAG
RNAcentral lists this long non-coding RNA (2670 nucleotides) under Salarias fasciatus (jewelled blenny). RNAcentral's name for it is "lncRNA (ENSSFAG00005003976.1)". Lineage: Eukaryota; Metazoa; Chordata; Actinopteri; Blenniiformes; Blenniidae. The record is from RNAcentral.